This 346-nucleotide ribosomal RNA is filed under the name uncultured bacterium. RNAcentral describes it as "partial 16S ribosomal RNA". It matches the Rfam family "Bacterial small subunit ribosomal RNA", at positions 338 to 681 of the family's 1533-position model. The record is from RNAcentral.
CCUACGGGAGGCUGCAGUGAGGAAUAUUGGUCAAUGGGCUUACGCCUGAACCAGCCAAGUCGCGUGAGGGAAGACUGCCCUAUGGGUUGUAAACCUCUUUUGUCAGGGAGCAAGUGGCGCUACGUGUAGCGUUAUCGAGAGGACCUGAAGAAAAAGCAGCGGCUAACUCCGUGCCAGCAGCCGCGGUAAUACGGAGGAUGCGAGCGUUAGCCGGAUUUAUUGGGUUGAACGGGUGCGUAGGCGGAAUGCCAAGUCAGCGGGAAAAUCGCGGGGCUCAACCUCGCUCCGCCGUUGAAACUGGCGUUCUUGAGUGGGCGCGAAGUAUGCGGCAUGCGUGGUGUAGCGG